AGCUUUGCGCAGUGGCAGUAUCGUAGCCAAUGAGGUUUAUCCGAGGCGCGAUUAUUGCUAAUUGAGAGAGCUAAAUAGUGUUUAUUUUAGCUAACAUUAUAGAUCUUCUGUGUGUCAGGCACAGUGUUAAUGGUGUGUUAUAUAAU
Lutra lutra (Eurasian river otter) is the source of this 146-nucleotide small nuclear RNA. RefSeq annotates it as U4 spliceosomal RNA. The record is from RefSeq and is a predicted model, not a curated record. Lineage: Eukaryota; Metazoa; Chordata; Mammalia; Carnivora; Mustelidae. The transcript has a single exon.